AAUGAACGCUGGCGGCAUGCCUUACACAUGCAAGUCGAACGGCAGCAUGACCUAGCUUGCUAGGUUGAUGGCGAGUGGCGCACGGGUGAGUGAUGCAUCGGAACGUGCCUUUUAGUGGGGGAUAACGUAGCGAAAGUUACGCUAAUACCGCAUAUUCUCUGAGGAGGAAAGCAGGGGACCUUCGGGCCUUGCGCUAGAAGAGCGGCCGAUGUCGGAUUAGCUAGUUGGUGAGGUAAAGGCUCACCAAGGCAACGAUCCGUAGCGGGUCUGAGAGGAUGAUCCGCCACACUGGAACUGAGACACGGCCCAGACUCCUACGGGAGGCAGCAGUGGGGAAUUUUGGACAAUGGGCGCAAGCCUGAUCCAGCCAUGCCGCGUGAGUGAAGAAGGCCUUCGGGUUGUAAAGCUCUUUCGGCUGGGAAGAAAUCGCACCCUCUAAUACAGGGUGUGGAUGACGGUACCAGCAUAAGAAGCACCGGCUAACUACGUG
This 490-nucleotide ribosomal RNA is filed under the name uncultured bacterium. RNAcentral's name for it is "partial 16S ribosomal RNA". It matches the Rfam family "Bacterial small subunit ribosomal RNA", at positions 29 to 507 of the family's 1533-position model. The record is from RNAcentral.